GGCCACCGAGAGAGACCCCCUCCCCAUAUCCCCGCAGCAUCUCGGCCGUGAGUCACCGUCACGUUUCUCACGUCCCCGGGCAGGCGUGAAUCAUGCCCCAGCCCGGCGGCAGGGCCGGGGCCGGCGGCACACGCUCGGCACCGGGCAGCCUGCCCACGCCCCCCCCUCCCACAACACCCCAUCAAGGAGAUCUGGGGGUGCCGGGGCUGGUGUGGAGCCCAGGACCUGCGUGUCACUCCCGAGGGCCAGCAGCACCCCCAACCCCACUGCAUGUCACUGGACCACCACACCAUGGCACCCUGUGGGCCAGUGACAACCCACGCCGGGCCACCACCGCUUCCCCCAGCAUGGCCACCGCGCUGGCCGGUGGGGACGGUGACCUUGCCUGCAGGGAUGGUGUCCGUGCCGGCCUCACCACCCCAGGGAGCAGCCGCCGGCCCCACGGCGUGGGUCCUCGCCCCGACACCCCCCAUGUCCCGCUGGCCGGGUGGGAGCCACAAACUGAAAUUCCACCUGUCGCAGCCGGGGCCGGCUCCGGUUACGCCGGGAACGCGCCACUCCGGUUACACGUCCCGCACCCGCCGCCAGACGCGCCAUUCUUCUGCGGGAACAGGUGCCACCACGGCCCCCGCCACGGCCCCCGCCACGGCCCCCGCCACGGGCACGGCUGUGCCACGCCACCACCGGCACCAGCGCCGCCCGCCCCACGGCUGCUGGAUCCUGGAAGGAGCGGGUCAGCCCGGCUCAGCCCCAAAGGCCCGGCGGUGCCAGUGAUGCCCACCAGCCCCUCACCCCUUGGGGACCCCCACUCCAGCCACACAGGGGGCACCACCACCCCACGGAGCAGCCCCAAACCCUUGGGACGAGCCCAGGGAAGGGCAGAUCCUGCCCGCAGCCUGGGAUGGGGGGGGAAGUUGUGGUCCCAGGGUGCUCCAUCCCGGUUCCCCGCGGGCUCCCGGGAAGCAGCGGGAUUGCGCCACGGCAGCCGCUCGCAGCAGCGGCCCCCGGUUGUUUUUAGCCCUGGAUGCGGCGCAGCCGGCGCCCUGGGAACGUCGUGCCGGGAACAGCGCGGCCCCAGACAGCCCUUUCUGGCUCGGCGACAGCCGGCAGACAAGUGCAGCCGCCUGCGGCACGGGGCCGCUCGGGACACGGCACCGGGGGGGACCCAGCGGGCAGGAGGCCACCCAACCCCCCCCCCCCAUCCUGGGCACCAGGAUUGGGUGGCACCAUGCCCCCAGCCUGGGCAGACCCCCCCCCAAGCAGGGCCGGGAUGAGGCCAGGCCAGGACCUGGCAUACCUCGGGGACACCAAGACACCGAGAUUGGGUGUGCAGAUGUGUGCCGCUGGCACGGCCCCUCCUGCCACGGCCUGGCCACCGGGGCUCAACCGGGGCCAGCGGAGGCUGGGGCGGGCGCACGAGGCCCCUCGCCGGGCCCUGCCACGAGCCACCCCCCACUAAGCCGCCUCCAGCCGCAGGGAGAUUAACCCAUUUUCUGUAAUCAGCACAUGUGUCACCGCAGAUAUGAUCGNNNNNNNNNNCCCCCACCCCAAAAAGGGCUGGCACUGCCAUGGAGGGGGGGCCCUGCAGCACAGGGGUGCC
This 1600-nucleotide long non-coding RNA is filed under the name Calidris pugnax (ruff). Its description in RNAcentral is "lncRNA (ENSCPUG00000000567.1)". Lineage: Eukaryota; Metazoa; Chordata; Aves; Charadriiformes; Scolopacidae. The record is from RNAcentral.